RNAcentral lists this ribosomal RNA (253 nucleotides) under uncultured bacterium. RNAcentral's name for it is "partial 16S ribosomal RNA". It matches the Rfam family "Bacterial small subunit ribosomal RNA", at positions 524 to 776 of the family's 1533-position model. The record is from RNAcentral.
UACGAGGGGGGCAAGCGUUGUUCGGAAUUAUUGGGCGUAAAGGGCGCGUAGGCGGUGCGGUAAGUCUGAUGUGAAAUCUCCGGGCUCAACUCGGAGUCUGCAUCAGAAACUGCCGUGCUCGAGUGUGGGAGAGGUGAGUGGAAUUCCCGGUGUAGCGGUGAAAUGCGUAGAUAUCAUUUGGAACGCCAACGGUGAAAACAGCUGGCUGGGGGUGUGCUGACGCUGAGACACGAAAGCCAGGGGAGCGAACGGG